GCCAUGAGAAACAUUUGAGAAACCUCCUCUGAUCCACGUAGACCGCGAGAAAUGGGUGGAAAAUGCCCGAUCGGUCCACAGCGGUCAUGUGGACCAUGCAACACCCUGUGGUCCAUCGUGGACCUCAAGAAAAAAUGGGGCCUGGGCACCCCGUGCGCUUACUAGGCCGGCCCGCGCAUAUGGCCUGCUUAGUCCCGGGCCGUGCCUGUAUGUCCGCAUGCUGGGCCAUACUGUCGGGCUUGGUUGUGCCACCGCUGGCUUCCAACGCUUCGUGGGCCGUGCGACCACGCUCUGGUC
This 297-nucleotide long non-coding RNA is filed under the name Elaeis guineensis (African oil palm). Its description in RNAcentral is "long non-coding RNA (EGUI_LNC010142)". The record is from RNAcentral. Lineage: Eukaryota; Viridiplantae; Streptophyta; Magnoliopsida; Arecales; Arecaceae.